This 816-nucleotide ribosomal RNA is filed under the name Triticum aestivum (bread wheat). RNAcentral describes it as "partial small subunit ribosomal RNA". The record is from RNAcentral. Lineage: Eukaryota; Viridiplantae; Streptophyta; Magnoliopsida; Poales; Poaceae.
AUGGCGAAGUCGCCCAUGGCGAUCUUGGCUCUCGGGCUAGCAGCACUAGUCCUAUCCGGCGCCGGGCUGGUGGCCGCGCAGAACUGCGGCUGCCAGCCGAACGAGUGCUGCAGCAAGUACGGUUAUUGCGGGACCGAUGCCAGCUACUGCGGACAAGAUUGUCGGUCGGGCCCGUGCACGGCGAGCGGCGGCGGGAGCGGCGAUCCCGUGGAGAGCGUCGUCACCGACGCGUUCUUUGACAGGAUCAAGUCCCAGGCCGCCGACGGGUGCCCCGGGAAGAGCUUUUACACGCGCCAGUUUUUCCUGGACGGCGCCCAGGCGAACCCCGACUUCGGCAAAGGCAGCACCAGCGACGACGGCAAGAGGGAGAUAGCCGCCUUCUUCGCCCACUUCACCCACGAGACCGGACACAUGUGCUCCAUCGAGGAGAACGAAGGGGCGAGCAAGGAUUACUGCGACGAGACGAACACGCAAUGGCCGUGUACCCCGGGGAAGGCGUACUACGGGCGCGGGCCGCUGCAGCUGUCGUGGAACUACAACUACGGGGCGGCCGGGGAGAGCACCGGGUUCGACGGGCUCAACAGCCCGGAGACGGUGGCGCAGGACCAGGCGCUAACGUUCAAGGCGGCGUUCUGGUUCUGGAUGACCAACGUGCACCAGGCCGUGCCCAGCGGGUUCGGCGCGACGACCAGGGCAAUCAACGGUGACGUGGAGUGCGACGGCAAGAAGCCAGACUUGGUGAGCGCGCGGGCGGGCUACUACACGGACUACUGCCAGCAGUUCGGCGUCGACCCAGGGAAUAACCUCACUUGCUAG